AAUGACUGGCCUGAGACUGCACAUCUAACAGGAGUUACUUUCCACAUAAAUGACUUAGGUUUACAGUUCAAACAAAGCCAUAGCUAAGUGCAUCCUCCCAUGUUGAACUUGAGGAUGCUGGGUGUUACUUUCAGCCUCACAAAACAGAAGCAUGGUGGCCAGCUGGGGAGAGGAACAGGGCAGGGGCUGGCGGAUUACCUGUCCCCAGGAGGCCAGGUGAAUGUGCGGCAGGGGAGCUGUGCCUGGAAACUGGGCCGUGGGUAGGAUGGAUUUACACAUACUUUGAACUCUGAGAUCUGAUGACUGUGGCUCAAAUUUUACCUGGAUCUAAUAGAGUAUAUCUUUUCUCCAAUAAUAUUUAGCGCCUCAUUCUCCAUUUUCAAGGAGAAAGUGGAAACAUAUAAAUUGUAGGCUUGAUAUCCAUCUAUUGUAUUAAAAUAACCAUACCUGUGGCAUGUAAAACACUACGAGAGGGUGGGAAAGAGCUAGAAUCAAGGCUGGUUGUUCAGGCAGGGCCUGAUGGUCCUUCUCCGCAUGCAGGCUCAGAAAUCUGAUUUUAGCAGGCCACUCAGAAAAAAUUCAGA
This 584-nucleotide long non-coding RNA is filed under the name Pan troglodytes (chimpanzee). RNAcentral's name for it is "long non-coding RNA NONPTRT001634". The record is from RNAcentral. Lineage: Eukaryota; Metazoa; Chordata; Mammalia; Primates; Hominidae.